Molecule: ribosomal RNA, 623 nt
Filed under: Bradyrhizobium elkanii
Lineage: Bacteria; Pseudomonadati; Pseudomonadota; Alphaproteobacteria; Hyphomicrobiales; Nitrobacteraceae
Description: bacterial SSU rRNA
Rfam family: Bacterial small subunit ribosomal RNA
Source: RNAcentral
AUGCAAGUCGAGCGGGCAUAGCAAUAUGUCAGCGGCAGACGGGUGAGUAACGCGUGGGAACGUACCUUUUGGUUCGGAACAACUGAGGGAAACUUCAGCUAAUACCGGAUAAGCCCUUACGGGGAAAGAUUUAUCGCCGAAAGAUCGGCCCGCGUCUGAUUAGCUAGUUGGUGAGGUAAUGGCUCACCAAGGCGACGAUCAGUAGCUGGUCUGAGAGGAUGAUCAGCCACAUUGGGACUGAGACACGGCCCAAACUCCUACGGGAGGCAGCAGUGGGGAAUAUUGGACAAUGGGCGCAAGCCUGAUCCAGCCAUGCCGCGUGAGUGAUGAAGGCCCUAGGGUUGUAAAGCUCUUUUGUGCGGGAAGAUAAUGACGGUACCGCAAGAAUAAGCCCCGGCUAACUUCGUGCCAGCAGCCGCGGUAAUACGAAGGGGGCUAGCGUUGCUCGGAAUCACUGGGCGUAAAGGGUGCGUAGGCGGGUCUUUAAGUCAGGGGUGAAAUCCUGGAGCUCAACUCCAGAACUGCCUUUGAUACUGAAGAUCUUGAGUUCGGGAGAGGUGAGUGGAACUGCGAGUGUAGAGGUGAAAUUCGUAGAUAUUCGCAAGAACACCAGUGGCGAAGGC